UUGGGUAUAAAGCGCGUGUAGGCGGCCAGAUAAGUCAGAGGUGAAAAGCCCGGGGGCUCAACCCCCGGAAGUGCCUUUUGAAACUAUUUGGGCUUGAGUGCGGGGAGAGGAAAGCGGAAUUCCCCAGUGUAGAGGUGAAAAUUCGUAGAUAUUGGGGAGGAACACCGGUGGCGAAGGCGGCUUUCUGGACCGACACUGACGCUGAGGCGCGAAAAGCGUGGGGAGCAAACAGGAUUAGAUACCCGCGUA
RNAcentral lists this ribosomal RNA (249 nucleotides) under uncultured Pseudomonadota bacterium. RNAcentral describes it as "uncultured proteobacterium partial 16S ribosomal RNA". It matches the Rfam family "Bacterial small subunit ribosomal RNA", at positions 554 to 792 of the family's 1533-position model. The record is from RNAcentral. Lineage: Bacteria; Pseudomonadati; Pseudomonadota.